This 261-nucleotide ribosomal RNA is filed under the name uncultured bacterium. RNAcentral describes it as "partial 16S ribosomal RNA". It matches the Rfam family "Bacterial small subunit ribosomal RNA", at positions 793 to 1055 of the family's 1533-position model. The record is from RNAcentral.
GUCCACGCUGUAAACGAUGAGAACUAGAUGUUGGGAGGGGAACCUUUCAGUAUCGAAGCUAACGCGAUAAGUUCUCCGCCUGGGAAGUACAGUCGCAAGACUGAAACUCAAAAGAAUUGACGGGGCCCGCACAAGCGGUGGAGCAUGUGGUUUAAUUCGAUGCAACGCGAAGAACCUUACCUACCCUUGACAUCCUGCGAAUCCCGAUGAGAGUUGGGAGUGCCGCAAGGAGCGCAGAGACAGGUGCUGCAUGGCUGUCGU